This 467-nucleotide ribosomal RNA is filed under the name uncultured bacterium. Its description in RNAcentral is "partial 16S ribosomal RNA". It matches the Rfam family "Bacterial small subunit ribosomal RNA", at positions 29 to 507 of the family's 1533-position model. The record is from RNAcentral.
ACGAACGCUGGCGGCGUGCUUAACACAUGCAAGUCGAACGGAAAGGCCCUGCUUUUGUGGGGUGCUCGAGUGGCGAACGGGGGAGUAACACGUGAGUAACCUGCCCUUGACUUUGGGAUAACUUCAGGAAACUGGGGCUAAUACCGGCUAGGAGCUCCUGCUGCAUGGUGGGGGUUGGAAAGUUUCGGCGGUUGGGGAUGGACUCGCGGCUUAUCAGCUUGGUGGUGGGGUAGGGGCUUACCAAGGCUUUGACGGGUAGCCGGCCUGAGAGGGUGACCGGCCACAUUGGGACUGAGAUACGGCCCAGACUCCUACGGUAGGCAGCAGUGGGGAAUAUUGCACAAUGGGCGGAAGCCUGAUGCAGCAACGCCGCGUGCGGGAUGUCGGCCUUCGGGUUGUAAACCGCUUUCGCCUGUGACGAAGCGUGAGUGACGGUAAUGGGUAAAGAAGCACCGGCUAACUACGUG